CAGCAGCAACAUACCGAUGGCCCCGGCUUACCUGCCGAUCUUCUGCCGGACAGACCCCCUAAACCAUCCAAACCAUUCAAACCGGGAGGGCCAGGAAAACCGUCAGUCGCUGUUGCGGGAGUAGCAGGGGCAGCUGCAACUUACGGAAUCAGUUCAUUGAUGGGAAGUUCCAAUGAACACCACUCUACUUCCCCACCAUUUUCUCCUCACCACGAAUCAACACUGCAUCCCGCCCAGCAGCCAGACAAUCCUCUGUUCAAUGGUGGACGCCCACCAAAACCAAACAAGCACCAUUCCAUGCCUAUUGUAGGUGCCGCCGCACUGGGCGCUGCCGCAGGAUAUGCCGCAUCGACAAGCCAAACGACUGUCUCCCCGCAGAGACCCAGUAUGUACUCUGGUAUCGUACACCAGCAACCCUUCCAAACG
This 426-nucleotide small RNA is filed under the name Histoplasma capsulatum. Its description in RNAcentral is "hypothetical RNA". Lineage: Eukaryota; Fungi; Ascomycota; Eurotiomycetes; Onygenales; Ajellomycetaceae. The record is from RNAcentral. RNAcentral also lists the same sequence under 1 other name.